Molecule: long non-coding RNA, 1211 nt
Organism: Lathyrus oleraceus (garden pea)
Lineage: Eukaryota; Viridiplantae; Streptophyta; Magnoliopsida; Fabales; Fabaceae
Exons: 2
Source: RefSeq, a predicted model, not a curated record
CCCAAAAUAUCUACCUAAAUAGCAUAAAAACAGUAAGUCAUAUAUAAUAAUAAAAAGCAAAGCAGUUUUUUUUACAGGAAAUGGGCUUUCCUCAGGCCCAAUUAAGAUACACAAAAAAAAUCCCCCAUCAGAAAAUGGGGGUGUUAAGAUCAAAGGAGACGCAUUGGGCCCAAACUGGAAGCCCACCUCCGGAAAUGGCUUCCCAUGAUCCACAUGAAGGAAGCUGACUUUAAAAAAACUUUAAACCAAAACCGUACGAUCCUAAGACCUGGCUUGGUCAACGCCCAAACCAAAGACCCUGAUGUGUUGGAACACCGUAAUGUCGUGGAUCCGCGCGCACGUUACGAAAAUCCUAGUCACAGACCUUGUGACAAGUGUCCCAACGGGGGAGACACUUGUCACCACCGCAUGGCCACAACCCUAAGACUAAAGCCAGCAAAGAGGAACCCUAACCUCAUUUAUUUCAAAUCGUUCUCUCUCUAAAACCUCUCUCUAACUCUCAGAGCGAAUAUGCGCUCUACAACUUCUUCAAUCUCCUCGGCGAACCUACCGGAGAAGACGGCGGUUGCCAGCCAACGACGGCGGCGCCACCUUCUUCUCUGGUGAACCUUCAACCAAACCACCGAAACCUAAACACUAAACCCCCCUAUUUUUGGCCGGGGAACACGAAUUCGGCCUUACUUUACCCUAAAAACCCUUCAAAUGACUGAAUCGGAACUUAUCCUUAUCAACCAAACAAAACUCAGACAAAAAUCAAAGGCUUUCAGCCAACGCGACGAAAUUAAAAUGGAUAAAGAGGAAGCUUUAAAAAAGAGAAACGAAGCAAAGGUAUUCGACGCUACGGCAAGGGUCUCUUGGCGCGGUUAUGUUGGUCUCGUUCGGAGAUAAAUCGUCGGUGACACUUCCUCCUUCAUCCUCAAGAUAAGUUGUACCAUAUAAUUGCCUAGACAGUCAUGGCAUUUGAGAUCGGAUUUUGAAGUGUGUCUCCUCUGAUGACUUAACACAAUGGAGCUUUGAAGAUAUACUUGAGAUGGGGACUUUGGCCUGUAUCCUCCUAGAGCGACCGGAAAAGAUGAGUGCAAGGAGUUUCCAUGGUUAUAUAAUAUGUUGUUUCAAAUUUAAACAAUUGAUUUCUGACAUGUAAUUGCGCCUUUUGGACUAUAAGCUUAGGAUUUCUGUUAAUGCAAAUUGCAAUAUAAUAUUUUUAUCAA